ACUUUCAGUUGUGAGGAAGGUGGUGUCGUUAAUAGCGGCAUCAUUUGACGUUAGCAACAGAAGAAGCACCGGCUAACUCCGUGCCAGCAGCCGCGGUAAUACGGAGGGUGCGAGCGUUAAUCGGAAUUACUGGGCGUAAAGCGCAUGCAGGUGGUUUGUUAAGUCAGAUGUGAAAGCCCGGGGCUCAACCUCGGAACUGCAUUUGAAACUGGCAGACUAGAGUACUGUAGAGGGGGUAGAAUUUCAGGUGUAGCGGUGAAAUGCGUAGAGAUCUGAAGGAAUACCGGUGGCGAAGGCGGCCCCCUGGACAGAUACUGACACUCAGAUUCGCGAAAGCGUGGGGAGCAAACAGGAUUAGAUACCCUCGGUAG
This 371-nucleotide ribosomal RNA is filed under the name uncultured bacterium. RNAcentral describes it as "bacterial SSU rRNA". It matches the Rfam family "Bacterial small subunit ribosomal RNA", at positions 432 to 793 of the family's 1533-position model. The record is from RNAcentral.